CUUCACCUUGAGGUCCCGGCUCUGGGAGCGGAGGAGGUCUUGGAUGUAGCCUUUGGGGUCUCUGGAGAAGCUUAGCAUGAAGUCCCUCUGGAUCUUGAGCUGGUUUAUGGACUCAAUCGUCUCGUGGAUCUACAGGCCCGUGUUCUCGUCUGUUUUGUCUGUGCUUGUGUCAUUUUGGGGUUGAUGUCCCACUCCAGCUCUGGGCUCUGGCCCCACCUUACUGUCCAGAGCGCUGAUCUCCUGCUGGUUGGCUGUGGACAGGAGGAAGCUGCUCAUCUGUCCCUUCAGUGGCUCCUCUACCUCCACGUCAAUGUCGUAGCACGCUGUCUUCUUCUGGUCUGACGGGUCCACGCUGCCAGGGAAGUCCAGCCCUUGGUGUCCUUGCUGCCCCACAGAGGCCAAGGGGAGGGAAGGGGCCCCGAGUGGGAGGCAGCGGGAGGGACUGGGAGGCCAGGCCCCCCCCUCCCCCCCCGCCUCCGCCCCUGCAAUGACUCCCUGUUCUGAGAGCAAACUGGGGCCUCACCUGAUGACAUGGUUGAUGACAAUGGGGUCAGGGGGCAACAGCAGAGCUGUGAGGCGCUGGGGGAUCUCAGAAAACUUCAGCCGGGGACAAUCAAAAAUCUGAAGUAGGAGAGAGAGAUCACUCCUGCCGCAUGUUUGGAAGAGCACACAUUCCCUUUUGAAAAGGCCUGGGGAAGCCAGAGCCCACGGGGCUGGGCAGGGGCUGCCAGUGGGGCGGGUCCAUGCAGCGCAUGGUUGACAGCGCCAAGGCCUGGGCUGCUGGCCUGGGUAGAAAUCCUGCUUCCACCACUUCCUGUGCAGCUGAGCAACUUACCCAACACCUCGGGCCUCAGUUUCUUCAUCUCUAGAAAGGGGAUGAUAAUAGCGCCCAUCUCACGGGGUGGCUGUGAGGUUAGAGUCAGCACACAUAACGGGCUCGGACCAGUGCCUGGCACAUGGUAAGUGCUCAAUAAACACUGACUUUAUUUUUA
Phacochoerus africanus (Common warthog) is the source of this 992-nucleotide long non-coding RNA. RefSeq lists it as uncharacterized. The record is from RefSeq and is a predicted model, not a curated record. NCBI's taxonomy places the organism in Eukaryota, Metazoa, Chordata, Mammalia, Artiodactyla, Suidae. The transcript has 2 exons.